UUAAGUCAGAAGUGAAAUCCAAUAGCUCAACUAUUGAACUGCUUUUGAAACUGAUUACCUAGAAUAUGGGAGAGGUAGAUGGAAUUUCUGGUGUAGGGGUAAAAUCCGUAGAGAUCAGAAGGAAUACCGAUUGCGAAGGCGAUCUACUGGAACAUUAUUGACGCUGAGACGCGAAAGCGUGGGGAGCAAACAGGAUUAGAUACCCUGGUAGUCCACGCCCUAAACGAUGUACACUAGUUGUUGUGAGGCUCGACCUUGCAGUAAUGCAGUUAACACAUUAAGUGUACCGCCUGGGGAGUACGGUCGCAAGAUUAAAACUCAAAGGAAUAGACGGGGACCCGCACAAGCGGUGGAGCAUGUGGUUUAAUUCGACGAUACACGAAGAACCUUACCUGGACUUGACAUAGUAAGAACUUUCUAGAGAUAGAUUGGUGUCUGCUUGCAGAAACUUAUAUACAGGUGCUGCACGGCUGUCGUCAGCUCGUGUCGUGAGAUGUUGGGUUAAGUCCCGCAACGAGCGCAACCCUCGUCAUUAGUUGCUAACAGUUCGGCUGAGAACUCUAAUGAGACUGCCUACGCAAGUAGGAGGAAGGUGAGGACGACGUCAAGUCAUCAUGGCCCUUACGUCCAGGGCUACACACGUGCUACAAUGGGGUAUACAAAGAGCCGCAAUACGGUGACGUGGAGCAAAUCUCAAAAAUAUCUCCCAGUUCGGAUUGUAGUCUGCAACUCGACUACAUGAAGUUGGAAUCGCUA
This 756-nucleotide ribosomal RNA is filed under the name uncultured Arcobacter sp. RNAcentral describes it as "bacterial SSU rRNA". It matches the Rfam family "Bacterial small subunit ribosomal RNA", at positions 583 to 1337 of the family's 1533-position model. Lineage: Bacteria; Pseudomonadati; Campylobacterota; Epsilonproteobacteria; Campylobacterales; Arcobacteraceae. The record is from RNAcentral.